RNAcentral lists this ribosomal RNA (440 nucleotides) under uncultured bacterium. RNAcentral's name for it is "partial 16S ribosomal RNA". It matches the Rfam family "Bacterial small subunit ribosomal RNA", at positions 338 to 795 of the family's 1533-position model. The record is from RNAcentral.
CCUACGGGAGGCAGCAGUGGGGAAUAUUGCACAAUGGGGGGAACCCUGAUGCAGCGACGCCGCGUGAGUGAAGAAGUAUUUCGGUAUGUAAAGCUCUAUCAGCAGGGAAGAAAAUGACGGUACCUGACUAAGAAGCCCCGGCUAACUACGUGCCAGGAGCCGCGGUAAUACGUGGUGGGCAAGCGUUAUCCGGAUUUACUGGGGGAAAAGGGAGCGCAGACGGCUGUGCAAGUCUGGAGUGAAAGGCGGGGGCCCAACCCCCGGACUGCUCUGGACACUGGAAAGGUUGAGUGCAGGAGAGGUAAGCAGAAUUCCUAGUGUAGCGGUGAAAUGCGUAGAUAUUAGGAGGAACACCAGUGGCGAAGGCGGCUUACUGGACUGCAACUGACGUUGAGGCUCGAAAGCGUGGGGAGCAAACAGGAUUAGAUACCCGGGUAGUC